This 701-nucleotide ribosomal RNA is filed under the name Haemaphysalis montgomeryi. Its description in RNAcentral is "12S ribosomal RNA". Lineage: Eukaryota; Metazoa; Arthropoda; Arachnida; Ixodida; Ixodidae. The record is from RNAcentral.
CAAUAAUUAAAUUUGGUUAGUAGGAAAAACGUGCUUUAAAUUCUUUAUAAUUUCUACAAGAUUUUUCUAUUAGAAGAUAAAAUUUAUUUAAUAAUUAAAUAUUAUUGAGAUUUAAAUAUUUUCCCUAGUAAAUUUUGUGCCAGCAACAGCGGUUAUACAAAAAGGGAUAUUUUUUUAAUAAUUAUUUAUUUUUUAAAUAUUAAUUACAGUAGUUUAAAAUUAAAGUGAAAUUUAUUUUUUUUUAAAUUUAUAAAUAAAAUAAUAAUUCUAUUCUAAACUAGGAUUAGAUACCCUAUUAUUAAGAGUUUUAUAUUGCUAGUAUAUAAAUAUUAUGAAAACAAAAAAUUAUGGCGGUAUUUUAAGCUUUUCAGAGGAAUUUGCUCUUUAAUGGAUAAAACACCUUAACCUUACUAAAAUUAGUUAAGCAGUUUGUAUACCACUAUUUAAGUAAUAAUUUGUUGUUAUUACUAAAAUAUACAUAAAGUAAAAAAAGUUAAGUCAAGGUGCAGCAAAAAUUUUAGUAUGAAGUGAAUUACAUUACUCUAAAGUGAUUUUAAAGUUGAAAAUAAUUUUUAGGAUUUGAAAGUAAAAUUUUAAUAAAAAGAAAAUUUGAAUUUAGCUCUAAAAUAUGUACAUAUCGCCCGUCGCUCUUUUUUAAAGAUAAGUCGUAACAAAGUUAAAGUACUGGAAAGUGCUUUAAA